Molecule: long non-coding RNA, 1711 nt
Filed under: Mus musculus (house mouse)
Lineage: Eukaryota; Metazoa; Chordata; Mammalia; Rodentia; Muridae
Description: RIKEN cDNA 4931439C15 gene
Source: RNAcentral
AGAAAAAUCAAGGCAGGCUUUAACGACUAGGACAUCCUGAUAACUAGAAAGAAUAUCUUUACUGUCUUAGGGUUUUUAUUGCUAUGUGAUGAGUCACCAUGAUCAAAGCAACACUUAUAAAGGACAACAUUUUACUGGGGCUGGUUUACUGGUUCAGAGGUUCAGUCCAUUAUCAUCAAGGCCAGAGCACGGCAGCACCCAGGCAGACAUCGUGUUAGAGAAGGAGUUGAGAAUUCUGGCAUCUUGAUUGGAAGGCAGUUAGAAGACUGACUCUUUUGCACUGGACAGAGCUUCAAGGCCCAUCUCCACAGGAACAUACUUUCUCUAACAAGGCCGUAUCUUCUAACAGUGUCACUCUAUAUGGGCCAAGCAUAUUCAAACCACUACCUUCACCUUAAAUUAUCCUCUCUCGUCAAGGAGCAUGGAUUCUCCAUUUGAAAGCCAGAAUUAAUGGUCAAAGAGAAAUAUAGCAGAUGAAAAACAGAUACAAUCUACCAUACCAAUUGAUUUGAAUGUUACAAACAAGCUUAACUUUAAAGGAGACGGUUUGGCAGCUGGGGGAAGGACAUGGUGCUGAUGUCAAAGGUUGCAGCUUAUCUUCUACCGAGGAUCCAAUCCUUCAUCUUGCUGCACAAGGCUGCCUCUCACAGGGGCCAGUGAUGAAUCUCAUCCUUGAUCUCCACUACGUCUGCAGGUUGGUUCCAAGCUUGCCCUGAGUCCUAAGUACUAGAAACCAUCACUUCCCAACUGCAGAUAAAGGAUAUUAACGUGGCAAAAAUAUUCCAGAAAGCAGCAACAAUAAGCAAAAAAUAUUUUGUGGUUUUAUUGGAGGGAAAUAGAUGAACUGUGAAUGUCAGAGUUCCGAGGAUCACUCAAGUUGGAUGGUGUGUGUGCAGGAGUCUCACCGUAUUUUUGGGUUUAUAUAAAAUGGCAAAGAUUGGAACACUGAAGGAAUUUCCUUUAUAAAAAUACACCGAGUUAUUUACUCACUAACCCUAGAAACCAAACAAGGUUUCUGCUACUUCUUAGAAUUUUCUGUGCUUUUUAAAAUGACUUUGAAAAUAACAUUCACAAUAGCUUCAAAAACUGAUUAUAAAUAAACCUACCCAAGGUGAAAAUUCUCCUGCAGUGAAAAACUGUAAGCUGCUGAAUAAACAGAAGAAGACCCCAGAAGAUCUUCUGUGCUCUUGGAGAGACCAGAAUGAUGCUAUGAAAGUGGCUACAUUACCAAAGAUGGUCUACAGAUUCAAUGCAAUUCCCACUGAACUCCAGUGAUAUUCUGCACAGAACUAGGAAAAAAAACAGUCCUAAAAUUUAUAUUGUAAAACAAAAAGCUAUGAAAAACAAAAACAAUCCUUACCAAAAGGAGGAGAAAUGUUGGGAAUACCGUUAUGCUUCAUUCCAGAUGAUACCAUAGAGCUGUUAUAACAAAAACAACGUGAUGCUGCCCCAAUGGAAUCUAGACCAAUGGAUUAAAAAAGAGGAGCAGAUAUAAACUUAGGUAGCUAUAGCUGCUUGGUUUUCGACAGAGAUGUCAAAAACACACAUUGGAGAAAUGGCAGCUACUUUAGCUAAUGGUGCUGAGGAGAACUGGCUAUCUACUGCAGGCACUGGAUAUCUACACGCAGGCACUAGCUCUUUAUCUCUCAGAUUGCACAACAAUAAAGUAAAACUCAACCAAAGACCAACUAAAAGACGCAAAACUCUGAAA